AGCGGCGGACGGGUGAGUAACGCGUGGGUAACCUGCCCUAUACACACGGAUAACAUACCGAAAGGUAUGCUAAUACGAGAUAAUAUAAGAGAUUCGCAUGGAUUUCUUAUCAAAGCUGAGGCGGUAUAGGAUGGACCCGCGUCUGAUUAGCUAGUUGGUAAGGUAACGGCUUACCAAGGCGACGAUCAGUAGCCGACCUGAGAGGGUGAUCGGCCACAUUGGAACUGAGACACGGUCCAAACUCCUACGGGAGGCAGCAGUGGGGAAUAUUGCACAAUGGGCGAAAGCCUGAUGCAGCAACGCCGCGUGAGUGAUGAAGACCUUCGGGUCGUAAAACUCUGUCCUCAAGGAAGAUAAUGACGGUACUUGAGGAGGAAGCCCCGGCUAACUACGUGCCAGCAGCCGCGGUAAUACGUAGGGGGCUAGCGUUAUCCGGAUUUACUGGGCGUAAAGGGUGCGUAGGCGGUCUCUUAAGUCAGGAGUGAAAGGCUACGGCUUAACCGUAGUAAGCUCUUGAAACUGGGAGACUUGAGUGCAAGAGAGGAAAGUGGAAUUCCUAGUGUAGCGGUGAAAUGCGUAGAUAUUAGGAGGAACACCAGUAGCGAAGGCGGCUUUCUGGACUGUAACUGACACUGAGGCACGAAAGCGUGGGGAGCAAACAGGAUUAGAUACCCUGUAGUCCACGCCGUAAACGAUGAGUACUAGGUGU
Molecule: ribosomal RNA, 709 nt
Filed under: uncultured bacterium
Lineage: Bacteria
Description: bacterial SSU rRNA
Rfam family: Bacterial small subunit ribosomal RNA
Source: RNAcentral